ACAGUGGACGCGAGCAUCUGUGGCCAAGUUUUUAAGGGCGCACGGUGGAUGCCUUGGCACCAGGAACCGAUGAAGGACGUGGGAGGCCGCGAUAGGCCCCGGGGAGCUGUCAACCGAGCUGUGAUCCGGGGGUGUCCGAAUGGGGAAACCCGGCAGUCGUCAUGGGCUGUCACCCGCUGCUGAACACAUAGGCAGUGUGGAGGGAACGCGGGGAAGUGAAACAUCUCAGUACCCGCAGGAAGAGAAAACAACCGUGAUUCCGGGAGUAGUGGCGAGCGAAACUGGAUGAGGCCAAACCGUAGGCGUGUGAUACCCGGCAGGGGUUGCGCUU
This is a ribosomal RNA of 331 nucleotides. It matches the Rfam family "Bacterial large subunit ribosomal RNA", at positions 1 to 305 of the family's 2925-position model.